This 468-nucleotide ribosomal RNA is filed under the name uncultured bacterium. RNAcentral describes it as "partial 16S ribosomal RNA". It matches the Rfam family "Bacterial small subunit ribosomal RNA", at positions 28 to 507 of the family's 1533-position model. The record is from RNAcentral.
GACGAACGCUGGCGGCGUGCUUAACACAUGCAAGUCGAACGGAAAGGCCCUGCUUUUGUGGGGUGCUCGAGUGGCGAACGGGUGAGUAACACGUGAGUAACCUGCCCUUGACUUUGGGAUAACUUCAGGAAACUGGGGCUAAUACCGGAUAGGAGCUCCUGCUGCAUGGUGGGGGUUGGAAAGUUUCGGCGGUUGGGGAUGGACUCGCGGCUUAUCAGCUUGUUGGUGGGGUAGUGGCUUACCAAGGCUUUGACGGGUAGCCGGCCUGAGAGGGUGACCGGCCACAUGGGGACUAGGGUACGGCCCAGACUGCUACGGGAGGCAGCAGGGGGGAAUAUUGCACAAUGGGCGGAAGCCUGAUGCAGCAACGCCGCGUGCGGGAUGACGGCCUUCGGGUUGUAAACCGCUUUCGCCUGUGACGAAGCGUUAGUGACGGUAAUGGGUAAAGAAGCACCGGCUAACUACGUG